UAUUUAAGGACCGUACUGUAAACCAACACAGGUGGGUUUCGUGCUAAACACGAAAAGUGAUAGAGCUUAAUUACUUAUAAGGAACUCGGCAAAAUUUGCCUAUAUCCUCGGUACUAGGUUCGUUUUUUAUUGGGAAACCCAUAAAAAACAUAAAAAUUUAUGGGAAUGACUGUUAAACACAAACACAGGACCUUGCAAAUUUUAUAAAUGAUGUAUAAGGUCUGACGCCUGCCCAGUGCUGAUUAACGAAAGUUUGAAGUUUGCGCUUCUUUCAUAAGUUGUAGUAAACGGCAGCGGUAACUCUAACCGUUCUAAGUUAAGCGAAAUUCCUUGGCAUAUAAUUGAUGUCCUGCACGAAUGGCGUAACAAUUCCUCAACUGUCUCAUAAGUAAAGUCUGUGAAAUUGAAUUCUGAGUCAAGAUGCUCAGAUCUCCUAGAAAGACAAGAAGACCCUAUGCCGCUUUACUGGAUCCUGCCGUUGCUUCUCUGAUUUUUAACUGUGUAGUCUAGGUGGGAGCCUUUGGCUUUUUUUGAAAAACCACUCUUUUAUUGAUUGUUUUGCUUCUAGUUUUUUACUAAACCGCGGUUGGUUGCUAGUUUUUCUGGGGUGGAAAACUCCUAAAAGGUAACGGAGUUGUACAAAAGGUGAACUUGAAGUUAAUAAGUUUAACUUUAAAGCGCAACGGUUUUUGUUCGCUUAACUGCGAGGCCUACUAGCCAAGCAGAGACGUAAGUCGGUCGUAGUGAUCCGAAAGACUCUGUGUGGAAAGGCUUUCGAUUAACGGAUAAAAGCUACGCUAGGGAUAACAGGCUACAGUUUGCUUAGAGCACCUAUCGCCGCAAAAAUUGAGUGCCUCGAUGUUGCCUCGUCCUAUCCUUGUGCUGCAACUGGUGCAAAGGGUGUGACUGUUCGUCAUUUAAAAGGGUACGUGAGGUGAGUUCAGAACGUUGUGAAACAGUUCGGUUUAUAUCUUCUAGGAGUGAGAAACGCAGAAGUUUUGAAUUUAGUACGAGAGGAAUUAUUAAAAUGUGCCUAUGGUUUGUGAGUUUUUAUAGGCUUAUCAGCUACGCAUUUUGGAGAAGUACCGAUGAAAGCAUCUAAAUCGGGAAUCCCUCUUCAGAU
This 1123-nucleotide ribosomal RNA is filed under the name Chrysoculter rhomboideus. RNAcentral describes it as "partial Bacterial large subunit ribosomal RNA". It matches the Rfam family "Bacterial large subunit ribosomal RNA", at positions 1632 to 2805 of the family's 2925-position model. The record is from RNAcentral. Lineage: Eukaryota; Haptophyta.